This 625-nucleotide ribosomal RNA is filed under the name uncultured fungus. Its description in RNAcentral is "LSU rRNA". It matches the Rfam family "Eukaryotic large subunit ribosomal RNA", at positions 23 to 664 of the family's 3401-position model. Lineage: Eukaryota; Fungi. The record is from RNAcentral.
ACCCGCUGAACUUAAGCAUAUCAAUAAGCGGAGGAAAAGAAACCAACAGGGAUUGCCUCAGUAACGGCGAGUGAAGCGGCAACAGCUCAAAUUUGAAAUCUGGCUCCUCUGGUGCCCGAGUUGUAAUUUGUAGAGGGUGCUUCGAGUGAAGCCCCGGCCCAAGUCCCUUGGAACAGGACGUCAGAGAGGGUGAGAACCCCGUGUCCGGCCGGCGGCGCUCCUCGCGUGAAGCCCCUUCGACGAGUCGAGUUGUUUGGGAAUGCAGCUCUAAAUUGGUGGUAAAUUCCAUCUAAAGCUAAAUACCGGCCAGAGACCGAUAGCGCACAAGUAGAGUGAUCGAAAGAUGAAAAGCACUUUGAAAAGAGAGUCAAAAAGUACGUGAAAUUGUUGAAAGGGAAGCGCUUGCGGCCAGACUUGCCCGCGGAUGUUCAGCCCGUCUUCUGGCGGGUGCACUCUUCCGCGGUCAGGCCAGCAUCGGUUUUGGCGGCCGGACAAAGGCCUUGGGAACGUGGCCCCCUCCGGGGGGUGUUAUAGCCCUCGGUGCAAUGCGGCCAGCCGGGACCGAGGAUCGCGCUCUGCUAGGAUGCUGGCGUAAUGGCCGUAAGCGGCCCGUCUUGAAACACGG